AGAGUUUGAUCCUGGCUCAGGAUGAACGCUAGCGGCAGGCUUAACACAUGCAAGUCGAGGGGCAGCACGUCUUCGGAUGGUGGCGACCGGCGCACGGGUGCGUAACGCGUAUACAAUCUACCUUUUACAGAGAGAUACCCCAGAGAAAUUUGGAAUAAUACCUCAUAAUAUUGUUAAUUGGCAUCAAUUGACAAUUAAAGUUUCGGCGGUAAGAGAUGAGUAUGCGUCCUAUUAGCUAGUUGGUAAGGUAACGGCUUACCAAGGCGACGAUAGGUAGGGGUCCUGAGAGGGAGAUCCCCCACACUGGUACUGAGACACGGACCAGACUCCUACGGGAGGCAGCAGUGAGGAAUAUUGGUCAAUGGGCGAAAGCCUGAACCAGCCAUGCCGCGUGCAGGAAGACUGCCCUAUGGGUUGUAAACUGCUUUUAUACAGGAAGAAACACUCGGACGUGUCCGAGCUUGACGGUACUGUAUGAAUAAGCACCGGCUAACUCCGUGCCAGCAGCCGCGGUAAGACGAAGGAUGCAAGCGUUAUCCGGAUUCAUUGGGUUUAAAGGGUGCGUAGGCGGACUUGUAAGUCAGUGGUGAAAUCUCUUUGCUUAACAAAGAAACUGCCAUUGAUACUGCAGGUCUAGAGUAUAGAUGACGUUGGCGGAAUAUGACAUGUAGUGGUGAAAUACUUAGAUAUGUCAUAGAACACCGAUUGCGAAGGCAGCUAACGAAACUAUAACUGACGCUGAGGCACGAAAGUGCGGGGAUCAAACAGGAUUAGAUACCCUGGUAG
RNAcentral lists this ribosomal RNA (786 nucleotides) under uncultured bacterium. RNAcentral describes it as "bacterial SSU rRNA". It matches the Rfam family "Bacterial small subunit ribosomal RNA", at positions 8 to 793 of the family's 1533-position model. The record is from RNAcentral.